RNAcentral lists this ribosomal RNA (222 nucleotides) under uncultured bacterium. RNAcentral's name for it is "partial 16S ribosomal RNA". It matches the Rfam family "Bacterial small subunit ribosomal RNA", at positions 524 to 743 of the family's 1533-position model. The record is from RNAcentral.
UACGUAGGGUGCAAGCGUUUAAUCGGAAUUACUGGGCGUAAAGCGUGCGCAGGCGGUUAUGUAAGACAGUUGUGAAAUCCCCCGGGCUCAACCUGGGAACUGCAUCUGUGACUGCAUAGCUAGAGUACGGUAGAGGGGGAUGGAAUUCCGCGUGUAGCAGUGAAAUGCGUAGAUAUGCGGAGGAACACCGAUGGCGAAGGCAAUCCCCUGGACCUGUACUGA